RNAcentral lists this ribosomal RNA (465 nucleotides) under Vreelandella stevensii. RNAcentral describes it as "partial 16S ribosomal RNA". It matches the Rfam family "Bacterial small subunit ribosomal RNA", at positions 338 to 795 of the family's 1533-position model. The record is from RNAcentral. Lineage: Bacteria; Pseudomonadati; Pseudomonadota; Gammaproteobacteria; Oceanospirillales; Halomonadaceae.
CCUACGGGGAGCUGCAGUGGGGAAUAUUGGACAAUGGGCGAAAGCCUGAUCCAGCCAUGCCGCGUGUGUGAAGAAGGCCUUCGGGUUGUAAAGCACUUUCAGUGGGGAAGAAAGCCUUGGGGCUAAUACCCUCGAGGAAGGACAUCACCCACAGAAGAAGCACCGGCUAACUCCGUGCCAGCAGCCGCGGUAAUACGGAGGGUGCGAGCGUUAAUCGGAAUUACUGGGCGUAAAGCGCGCGUAGGCGGUCUGAUAAGCCGGUUGUGAAAGCCCCGGGCUCAACCUGGGAACGGCAUCCGGAACUGUCAGGCUAGAGUGCAGGAGAGGAAGGUAGAAUUCCCGGUGUAGCGGUGAAAUGCGUAGAGAUCGGGAGGAAUACCAGUGGCGAAGGCGACCUUCUGGACUGACACUGACGCUGAGGUGCGAAAGCGUGGGUAGCAAACAGGAUUAGAUACCCCAGUAGUC